AGAGUUUGAUCAUGGCUCAGGAUGAACGCCGGCGGUGUGCCUAAUACAUGCAAGUCGAACGCGUUGGCCCAACUGAUUGAACGUGCUUGCACGGACUUGACGUUGGUUUACCAGCGAGUGGCGGACGGGUGAGUAACACGUAGGUAACCUGCCCCAAAGCGGGGGAUAACAUUUGGAAACAGAUGCUAAUACCGCAUAACAAUUUGAAUCGCAUGAUUCAAAUUUAAAAGAUGGUUUCGGCUAUCACUUUGGGAUGGACCUGCGGCGCAUUAGCUUGUUGGUAGGGUAACGGCCUACCAAGGCUGUGAUGCGUAGCCGAGUUGAGAGACUGAUCGGCCACAAUGGAACUGAGACACGGUCCAUACUCCUACGGGAGGCAGCAGUAGGGAAUCUUCCACAAUGGGCGCAAGCCUGAUGGAGCAACACCGCGUGAGUGAAGAAGGGUUUCGGCUCGUAAAGCUCUGUUGUUAGAGAAGAACGUGCGUGAGAGCAACUGUUCACGCAGUGACGGUAUCUAACCAGAAAGUCACGGCUAACUACGUGCCAGCAGCCGCGGUAAUACGUAGGUGGCAAGCGUUAUCCGGAUUUAUUGGGCGUAAAGCGAGCGCAGGCGGUUUGAUAAGUCUGAUGUGAAAGCCUUUGGCUUAACCAAAGAAGUGCAUCGGAAACUGUCAGACUUGAGUGCAGAAGAGGACAGUGGAACUCCAUGUGUAGCGGUGGAAUGCGUAGAUAUAUGGAAGAACACCAGUGGCGAAGGCGGCUGUCUGGUCUGCAACUGACGCUGAGGCUCGAAAGCAUGGGUAGCGAACAGGAUUAGAUACCCUGGUAGUCCAUGCCGUAAACGAUGAGUGCUAGGUGUUGGAGGGUUUCCGCCCUUCAGUGCCGCAGCU
RNAcentral lists this ribosomal RNA (890 nucleotides) under uncultured bacterium. RNAcentral's name for it is "bacterial SSU rRNA". It matches the Rfam family "Bacterial small subunit ribosomal RNA", at positions 8 to 853 of the family's 1533-position model. The record is from RNAcentral.